AGGUCUGGAAGCCACAAGUCUAACAUCAUGGUAUUAGCUGGUCUGUUUUCCUUUUGGAGUCUUCCGAUGCCGGUGGUAAUUCCAACCAGAGAUUUGGCAACUGGUUGCACAGAUCUGGAAAUUGGUAGGAAAAUCUGGAUUGAAGCUACAGAUUAGGGAGGGGAUCAUUAACAUGAAAUGAGUACGGGUAAGAACCCAAGAAGAGAUGAGAAGGGAAAGGGAAAGAGGAAAGAACCCUGGAAAACAAAAUUGAACGAUUAUUGUGAAUUACUUACUUCCUGGUAAUUGUACUACAUAUCCACAUCCUUGCAGUAGCUUCAUGGUGGAUGAAUGUUACACCCAUACCCUGACAUUGGGCAGAGCUCUAUGAUGUGCUUUGGCUAAUGGAAUGUUAGUGGGCAUGAUAUGAACAGACAUCCCCUCUUAUGAUCUUCUGUGAGGAAACAUGCCCUCAGUUGCCACUGGCCCUUCAGACUGGGCCCAGAAUGAAAACAGGCAGAACAGACCUGAGCCUGACUUGCAACCUGGAGUCAAGUCCAGCUGACACAGAGUCCCCCCUAGUUUGACUGAACUGCAGUUUGGCUGCAGACUUGAAAGUAUGAAAAUAAAUGCUUGUUGCUGUGGGCACCUGAGUUUGGGGAUGGUUUUUUGUUAGGCACCAUUACUGUACCAGUUGCUAAUUAAUAUAAAUAGCAAUGCUAAAUUGACAGAGAAGAACCCAUGAAAGGACUAGAGAAGGAUGAGCCACACAGGUUAGAGAGCAUUCAGGCAAGAGGAACUUCGCAGUUGCCAAGAAGGGAGUGUUUCAAUAAGAGAAAAGGCCUUGCGUGGGCAAGGUCAGAGGCCUCAGAGAAGUCAAGCAAGUCAAGGACCAAAACGUAUUCACUGGAUCCAACAACAAAGAGAUAGAGGAAAUUUAUAUGAUCUCUACACAUUUCUCUGGGGAAUAAGAGAUGCAGCCUUCUGAGAGUGAGAGACAAGAGGACUAGAGACCUGGAAGAAAGCUAUACAAGCCGCAGACUUUGCUGAGAGGAAGGGGAGAGAGACCAUGUGAUUUUCCCCAGCCGUGAGUGCAGCCUUAACAGAAAGAAGAAAAAUCUGUGUAUUCGAUGUGGCGUUGGGAAUUUUUUGGAGCAUGUGAGACUAAAAGGCAUAAAACAUUUUUUUUUCUGUCAA
This is a long non-coding RNA of Herpailurus yagouaroundi (jaguarundi), 1176 nucleotides long. RefSeq lists it as uncharacterized. The transcript has 2 exons. NCBI's taxonomy places the organism in Eukaryota, Metazoa, Chordata, Mammalia, Carnivora, Felidae. The record is from RefSeq and is a predicted model, not a curated record.